AACGAACGCUGGCGGCAUGCCUAACACAUGCAAGUCGAACGAGACCUUCGGGUCUAGUGGCGCACGGGUGCGUAACGCGUGGGAACCUGCCCUUAGGUUCGGAAUAACUCCCCGAAAGGGGUGCUAAUACCGGAUAAUGUCUUCGGACCAAAGAUUUAUCGCCUUUGGAUGGGCCCGCGUUGGAUUAGCUAGUUGGUAGGGUAAAAGCCUACCAAGGCGACGAUCCAUAGCUGGUCUGAGAGGAUGAUCAGCCACACUGGGACUGAGACACGGCCCAGACUCCUACGGGAGGCAGCAGUGGGGAAUAUCGGACAAUGGGCGAAAGCCUGAUCCAGCAAUGCCGCGUGAGUGAUGAAGGCCUUAGGGUUGUAAAGCUCUUUUACCCGGGAUGAUAAUGACAGUACCGGGAGAAUAAGCUCCGGCUAACUCCGU
RNAcentral lists this ribosomal RNA (432 nucleotides) under uncultured bacterium. RNAcentral describes it as "partial 16S ribosomal RNA". It matches the Rfam family "Bacterial small subunit ribosomal RNA", at positions 29 to 506 of the family's 1533-position model. The record is from RNAcentral.